This 37-nucleotide ribosomal RNA is filed under the name Megalophaedusa pinguis platyauchen. Its description in RNAcentral is "Hemiphaedusa pinguis platyauchen partial 5.8S rRNA". Lineage: Eukaryota; Metazoa; Mollusca; Gastropoda; Stylommatophora; Clausiliidae. The record is from RNAcentral.
GAAAAACCAGAAAAGAAAUGGGAAAAAAAACAACUUU